Chroicocephalus ridibundus (black-headed gull) is the source of this 266-nucleotide long non-coding RNA. RefSeq lists it as uncharacterized. The transcript has 3 exons. NCBI's taxonomy places the organism in Eukaryota, Metazoa, Chordata, Aves, Charadriiformes, Laridae. The record is from RefSeq and is a predicted model, not a curated record.
GCCUAUAUGCUGAGCUGUUGGGAAGGGGCACUACUGUAGCUGCCUUGAGCUCAGUGGUGCGCUAGACCUGCCCACAAGGCCAGGAGUCUUACUUCAGGAUUUUUGCUGCACAACUUGUGAGCAUCUUGUAGCACAGACUUCUUCACAGUGGGGCACUUGGCUUUCUGCUCACCAGCUGUGAGAGCCCAGAGUUGGAAACACUGUCACUGGUCUGUCAGCCUCAAUGGAGGCAGAAAAUUCCCUUCUCUGUGUCCUUUUGCUUCCCA